RNAcentral lists this ribosomal RNA (251 nucleotides) under uncultured bacterium. RNAcentral describes it as "partial 16S ribosomal RNA". It matches the Rfam family "Bacterial small subunit ribosomal RNA", at positions 525 to 775 of the family's 1533-position model. The record is from RNAcentral.
ACGUAGGGGGCAAGCGUUAUCCGGAUUUACUGGGUGUAAAGGGUGCGUAGGUGGCAAGGCAAGUCAGAUGUGAAAGCCCGGGGCUCAACCCCGGUACUGCAUUUGAAACUGUCUGGCUAGAGUGCAGGAGAGGUAAGCGGAAUUCCUAGUGUAGCGGUGAAAUGCGUAGAUAUUAGGAGGAACACCAGUGGCGAAGGCGGCUUACUGGACUGUAACUGACACUGAGGCACGAAAGCGUGGGGAGCAAACAG